Pseudonaja textilis is the source of this 379-nucleotide non-coding RNA. NCBI's taxonomy places the organism in Eukaryota, Metazoa, Chordata, Lepidosauria, Squamata, Elapidae. The record is from RefSeq and is a predicted model, not a curated record.
CACACACACACACACACACACCGCUAUCAACAGGUAAACCGGAAUCAAAUAGUUUAAUCCUUAGAUAUGUCAGUUCCUGUAGCUCAGUUCCUGUAGCAGAAACUGAAUGAGAAAUUAUACUAGAAGCUGUUUUCCGCUACCUCUCCUCCAUCAAAGAAUCAAAGGGCAAGGUAGCCUUCCUCAACAGACCUGCAUAUUGUAACCUUUGUGAAAGACAUCAGGUUGGGAAAUCCAGCUGUUACACGAUUAAAUUUCCCACCCAACCAUCGGGGCCUGGUCAGUUGUCCAGGCCUUCUGCUCUUUUGCCUCUUCAUAUUUCCACAUGAAAGCAUGCCCUUUAAUUCUGCAUGUUACUGGAAAACUUGCCACUUAGAAUCUU